GACGAACGCUGGCGGCGUGCUUAACACAUGCAAGUCGAACGGAGUGCUCAUGACAGAGGUUUCGGUCCAAUUGAUUGAGUUACUUAGUGGCGGACUGGUGAGUAACGCGUGAGGAACCUGCCUUUCAGAGGGGACGAACAGUUGGAAACGACUGCUAAUACCGCAUGACACAUCGAGGGGGCGAUCCCUUUGAUGUCAAAGAUUUAUCGCUGAAAGAUGGCCUCGCGUCCGAUUAGAUAGUUGGCGGGGUAACGGCCCACCAAGUCGACGAUCGGUAGCCGGACUGAGAGGUUGACCGGCCACAUUGGGACUGAGAUACGGCCCAGACUCCUACGGGAGGCAGCAGUGGGGAAUAUUGGGCAAUGGACGCAAGUCUGACCCAGCAACGCCGCGUGAAGGAAGAAGGCUUUCGGUUGUAAACUUCUUUUGUCAGGGAAGAGUAGAAGACGGUACCUGACGAAUAAGCCACGGCUAACUAACGUGCCAGCAGCCGCAGUAAU
Molecule: ribosomal RNA, 500 nt
Filed under: uncultured bacterium
Lineage: Bacteria
Description: bacterial SSU rRNA
Rfam family: Bacterial small subunit ribosomal RNA
Source: RNAcentral